Molecule: ribosomal RNA, 247 nt
Filed under: uncultured bacterium
Lineage: Bacteria
Description: partial 16S ribosomal RNA
Rfam family: Bacterial small subunit ribosomal RNA
Source: RNAcentral
AUACGUAGGUGGCAAGCGUUGUCCGGAAUUACUGGGCGUAAAGGAUGCGUAGGCGGAUAUGUAAGUCAGAUGUGAAAUACCCGGGCUCAACUUGGGUGCUGCAUUUGAAACUACAUGUCUAGAGUGCGGGAGAGGAAAGUGGAAUUCCUAGUGUAGCGGUGAAAUGCGUAGAUAUUAGGAGGAACACCAGUGGCGAAGGCGGCUUUCUGGACUGUAACUGACACUGAGGCACGAAAGCGUGGGGAGC